Molecule: long non-coding RNA, 3159 nt
Organism: Calidris pygmaea (Spoon-billed sandpiper)
Lineage: Eukaryota; Metazoa; Chordata; Aves; Charadriiformes; Scolopacidae
Source: Ensembl
UGAGGCUCUGGCUUGAUGAAAAAGAAUAUGAAAAGUAUUCACUCAUAAAUCGUCCUGUAUAGGGAGUUCAUUCCAAGUGCCCAAAACCAGUAUGAUAAUUUUGGUGAGGAAGUUUAAUAAGGCUUAAUAGUAAUCUCUAAAAGAAAAACCAUUAUGCAAACAGUUCGUAUAAGAAGGAAUUACGAUGCCUAGCUCGGGCUUUGGACAACUGCCAAUAUAUUGUUUUUUUCUGGUAGCUGUUUACAGAGAGCACAGUGUGCACAUGCCUCAAGUCAGGACAAAAUUGAUGGGCUGACCGAUUCGCCCGUAAUUUCUAUACGCAAAGUUGGGGGUGGGAAGGUGGAACAGACUCACCUCUGGGAAGGCGAUGCCUCGAGCUCCCUGUGUGCCGUAGCCGUGGCCUGAUGUGCCACCAAAGCCAGGGAGCAUAGAGAGAGGAUCAGAGGAGAAAGCUGACGCAGGCUCCACUGCAUUGUUUUUUCCAUAUGUAAAUGUUUGCUAUAGAUUAGCUGCAAAGAAAAGCUUUAGGCUUCGGGACUGCUAGAAGGAGGACGGAGCCCACCUGGCUCCAAAAUGCUGUGGUAAAUCAUUGACGACGGCCCAGAUCAAAUCACAAAGAAUCAGGACACAUCCCGGAGGCCUUUGACCUUUUGGAAACAAAUUCCCGGUUUUCUGGCAAGGGAAUAUAUUAAACUGUGCAACUGUUUCCACAUUAAAGUCAAUCAAGUCCUAUUGCAGCAGUGUAUUUCAUGUCCAGCCUGCUCUCUCCUUUUAAUUUGAAGGAGGAGAAAACUCAUUUUAUUUCCCAUAGUGACUUAACUGCAAUUUUGGUGCAUCUGGGCACUUACCAGGGAAAAGCUUCCCAGUACAGCAAAUUAAAGAUUAUUACAAACUUCUGUUAUGAGGAACUUGUACCUCCCAGAUACGUCAAGGAAAUGUCAGUUCAGCCUCUUCCCACUGCCAUCCCCAUGAGUCAGUGUCCCAUCUCCAAAGCUGAGGAAGGUGUGACUGACAUCAGAGCUCUACGAGCAAAAUUUCAAAAUGACUCUAACUUGGCCAACAAGCUGGUGCAGCCACGCAAGAAGCUUCCUCCUAAGAUUGCACCCAAGCCGGGCUCUAGAGGAAACGUUGUGUCCAGCCCUCUGCCUCUGAGUAAGAGAGAAGUGAUAACACCAAAACCCAAGGAUGAACCUGUCCAUCCUGCCUCCCAACCCUCUGCACUCACCCAAUGCAACCCCUUGGCAUGGCCUCGAGCCAAGCUGGGUUACAUGGAGCCAACGGAGCACAAUGAAGAGCAGAAAGGCAACAACUCGGAGAAAGGGCUGAGUUCUCCCAAGAGUGGUCCAGAGAAGCCUCUGCCAUCCUAUUGCAUUGAUUGGCAAGGAUCAGCCCAAACAGCCCCAGAGGAUCCUUCGCCCCCAAAUUCUUUCCAGCAUGCCCUAAAGAUCUGGGAAAAUGCUUUAUCCUGUGGCGAGAAAGCAAAUUUAAUACUCCCAACCCAACGGGCAACAAACUUGUAUGUGCACCCUUGCCCGGAGCAGAGGGCGAUGCGUGCUCCAACUGCGUCGGGUGGCAGGACUCAACCCUCUGGAAGCAAGCCCAUGCUGGACUUGCCUGCCCAGAAGAAGGAUGCUCUGCAUGGCCAUGGGCUGUCUCUUCCUCAGGCAUCCAGAGGACACAGAGGCUCUGAUGGAGCUGCUCCUGAGAUCGCGGUGGCAACUGCAUUCUGCCAGCUGGGUUAUGUCCCACCAAGAAAGCAACCUCAGCACCAGAAAGAAUCGGAGCCUCCCUUCUGCCAGCCUGGAGCAGGAAAUUGGUCUUACAGCCCCGGCAGCAAGUGGCCAAGAGUUAAACUUCUCCCUUCAGUUGAAUCCCUGGGUCCAGCCCCUGAGAAGCCAGCAAGACCCCCAAAGUUUGAUCUCAGUGCCUUCCGAAGCACCAUGCUUUCAGUCCACAGAGGAAAUGAAACAACUGCUGAUGAAGAGGAUUACUUGACUCCUGAAAGUGCUCAACUUGAAGAGCAGCAUAAUUAUGAAGAAACCUCAGUGUACCUGAAUCAGCCUGGGGACGCCAAAACCUUGUGUGUCAUUGAAGUACCGAAGGAAGAGCCUGAAGAAUACAAGAAACAGAAGACUUUUUUCUUUGCCAAAUCCAGGUAAUUUCCUUUCCUUUCUCUCAAGCUUCUUCUAACCCCACAAGCAACCCAGGUUAGGGCUAGAAUAUUGUAACACUCAGUAAAUAGAAAGAAAUUUCAUAUAUUUCACGACCAGGACAAUAUUUCACGACCAGGACAAUGUAGACAAUGAUGCUCUUCUGUGUCAGCACUCAUGGUUUCUAAGAUUAUUUUCAUUCUAAAGCAUAUCUGGAGGGGAGAUUUUCUUCUCUCCUCUGGCACACAAAAAAUACAUUGUUGUUUCCCAUUGAAACCUGAACUCUCUCAGUAUAAGAAGGGAGAGGUGUGAGGCUCUCGUGCUGGGAAAUGGAGUUCCAGGUCCAAAGCUGUGGUAAAGGCAAGGUCCUCCCUGAAUUUCGUACUAUAAAUGUCACAUUUCAAACUCCUUGCAGUAUAUAAUUACUGUCACUGGCUGAAGGCUGGUUUUUUGAUGGGGGUGGAAGAAUCAUGUGAUAAAAGAGGGUCAUCUCAAUGGGAAAUGGCUGUGAUGCUGGAAAAAAGGUUUCAUGUUCUACCUCCCGUUGCUGUAUCUUCUUCCCUAAAUUGCAAUAUAGUGUGGUGAGAGGCAUGUCUUCUGAGCCAGGUACCACCACUGGCAAAUGGAUCCAGCUUGUCCAUUCCUGCUACUAGAAAACAAUCAUCUUAGUUUUUCUCUUUUCUGAGGGUGAUUGUUAUUACCCAUAUAACCAGUGGCCUUUAGAUUUGGAAUUGCCCUUACUUUUAGUACUGGCGGUCUUUUUGGCAUCUACCUCAUUCAGAUGGAAAAUGAGCUGCUUAUUUGAGCACAAUCAUAAAGCAAUAUGUCUGUCUGUGACUUUGCUAAAGUGUGUCUGUUCUGAGAUGUCUCUCAUUUCUGACAUUUUCAGUCCUGGAAGAACUAUAAUAGAGGAUGAAAAAGAGGAAAAAACAAGUCUUGAAAGAGAGAAACAUGAAGGAAAAAAAUUUUUUGAAGUAUGGUAUCCUUGAGAUUACUUUUAAUAAUUAAC